GACGAACGCUGGCGGCGUGCUUAACACAUGCAAGUCGAACGGAAAGGCCCUGCUUUUGUGGGUUGCUCGAGUGGCGAACGGGUGAUUAACACGUGAGUAACCUGCCCUUGACUUUGGGUUAACUUCAGGAAACUGGGGCUAAUACCGGAUAGGAGCUCCUGCUGCAUGGUGGGGGUUGGAAAGUUUCGGCGGUUGGGGAUGGACUCGCGGCUUAUCAGCUUGUUGGUGGGGUAGUGGCUUACCAAGGCUUUGACGGGUAGCCGGCCUGAGAGGGUGACCGGCCACAUUGGGACUGAGAUACGGCCCAGACUCCUACGGGAGGCAGCAGUGGGGAAUAUUGCACAAUGGGCGGAAGCCUGAUGCAGCAACGCCGCGUGCGGGAUGACGGCCUUCGGGUUGUAAACCGCUUUCGCCUGUGACGAAGCGUGAGUGACGGUAAUGGGUAAAGAAGCACCGGCUAACUACGUG
RNAcentral lists this ribosomal RNA (468 nucleotides) under uncultured bacterium. Its description in RNAcentral is "partial 16S ribosomal RNA". It matches the Rfam family "Bacterial small subunit ribosomal RNA", at positions 28 to 507 of the family's 1533-position model. The record is from RNAcentral.